CCAAUAGCGUAUAUUAAAGUUGUUGCAGUUAAAAAGCUCGUAGUUGAAUUUCGGGAUUGACGUGACGGUCGUGCCUUACGGGGUAUGAACUGUUGCUGUUGAUUUCUCACCUUCUGGAGAAACUUGAUGUCCUUAAUUGGGUGUCUUGCGGAUCCAGGACCUUUACCUUGAAAAAAUUAGAGUGUUUAAAGCAGGCAUUU
Molecule: ribosomal RNA, 200 nt
Filed under: uncultured Glomus
Lineage: Eukaryota; Fungi; Glomeromycota; Glomeromycetes; Glomerales; Glomeraceae
Also listed under: 1 other name
Description: partial small subunit ribosomal RNA
Rfam family: Eukaryotic small subunit ribosomal RNA
Source: RNAcentral